GGCCCUGUGGCGGAGAGUUACGCACGGGAUUGCAAAUCCCGGCACCCUUGGUUCAAUCCCAAGGCAGGGCCU
Molecule: transfer RNA, 72 nt
Filed under: Devosia sp. DBB001
Lineage: Bacteria; Pseudomonadati; Pseudomonadota; Alphaproteobacteria; Hyphomicrobiales; Devosiaceae
Description: tRNA-Cys-GCA
Rfam family: tRNA
About the family: Transfer RNA (tRNA) molecules are approximately 80 nucleotides in length. Their secondary structure includes four short double-helical elements and three loops (D, anti-codon, and T loops). Further hydrogen bonds mediate the characteristic L-shaped molecular structure. tRNAs have two regions of fundamental functional importance: the anti-codon, which is responsible for specific mRNA codon recognition, and the 3' end, to which the tRNAs corresponding amino acid is attached (by aminoacyl-tRNA synthetases). tRNAs cope with the degeneracy of the genetic code in two manners: having more than one tRNA (with a specific anti-codon) for a particular amino acid; and 'wobble' base-pairing, i.e. permitting non-standard base-pairing at the 3rd anti-codon position.
Source: RNAcentral